GAUGAACGCUGGCGGCGUGCCUAACACAUGCAAGUCGAGCGAACAGACGAGGAGCUUGCUCCUCUGACGUGAGCGGCGGACGGGUGAGUAACACGUGGAUAACCUACCUAUAAGACUGGGAUAACUUCGGGAACCCGGAGCUAAUACCGGAUAAUAUAUUGAACCGGAGGGUUCAAUAGUGAAAGACGGUUUUGCUGUCACUUAUAGAUGGAUCCGCGUCGGAUUAGCUAGUUGGUAAGGUAACGGCCUACCAAGGCGACGAUGCGUAGCCGACCUGAGAGGGUGAUCGGCCACACUGGAACUGAGACACGGUCCAGACUCCUACGGGAGGCAGCAGUAGGGAAUCUUCCGCAAUGGGCGAAAGCCUGACGGAGCAACGCCGCGUGAGUGAUGAAGGUCUUCGGAUCGUAAAACUCUGUUAGUAGGGAAGAACAAAUGUGUGAGUAACUCUGCACGUCUUGACGGUACCUAAACAGUAAGCCACGGCUAACUACGUG
This 497-nucleotide ribosomal RNA is filed under the name uncultured bacterium. RNAcentral's name for it is "partial 16S ribosomal RNA". It matches the Rfam family "Bacterial small subunit ribosomal RNA", at positions 28 to 507 of the family's 1533-position model. The record is from RNAcentral.